UACGGAGGGUGCGAGUGUUAAUCGGAAUUACUGGGCGUAAAGCGCACGCAGGCGGUUUGUUAAGCUAGANGUGAAAACCCCGGGCUCAACCUGGGAUGGUCAUUUAGAACUGGCAGACUAGAGUCUUGGAGAGGGGAGUGGAAUUCCAGGUGUAGCGGUGAAAUGCGUAGAUAUCUGGAGGAACAUCAGUGGCGAAGGCGACUCCCUGGCCAAAGACUGACGCUCAUGUGCGAAAGUGUGGGUAGCGAACAGG
Molecule: ribosomal RNA, 253 nt
Filed under: uncultured bacterium
Lineage: Bacteria
Description: partial 16S ribosomal RNA
Rfam family: Bacterial small subunit ribosomal RNA
Source: RNAcentral